AGAGUUUGAUCAUGGCUCAGGAUGAACGCUAGCGGCAGGCCUAACACAUGCAAGUCGAGGGGCAGCACGGGUAGCGAUACCUGGUGGCGACCGGCGCACGGGUGAGUAACGCAUAUGCAACCUACCUUUAACAGGGGAAUAGCCCGAAGAAAUUCGGAUUAAUGUCCCAUAAUAUAUAUGAGCUGCAUGGUUUAUAUAUUAAAACUCCGGUGGUUAAAGAUGGGCAUGCGUGCCAUUAGGUAGUUGGUGAGGUAACGGCUCACCAAGCCGACGAUGGCUAGGGGGCCUGAGAGGGUAGUCCCCCACACUGGUACUGAGACACGGACCAGACUCCUACGGGAGGCAGCAGUGAGGAAUAUUGCGCAAUGGAGGCAACUCUGACGCAGCCAUGCCGCGUGCAGGAAGACGGCCCUAUGGGUUGUAAACUGCUUUUAUACGGGAAUAAUUCCUGGUACGAGUACCGGGUUGAAUGUACCGUAAGAAUAAGCAUCGGCUAACUCCGUGCCAGCAGCCGCGGUAAUACGGAGGAUGCAAGCGUUAUCCGGAUUUAUUGGGUUUAAAGGGUGCGUAGGCGGGAUUGUAAGUCAGUGGUGAAAUCUUGCAGCUUAACUGUAAAAUAGCCAUUGAUACUGCAGUUCUUGAGUACAGUUGAGGUAGGCGGAAUGUGUAAUGUAGCGGUGAAAUGCUUAGAUAUUACACAGAACACCGAUUGCGUAGGCAGCUUACUAAGCUGUAACUGACGCUGAGGCACGAAAGCGUGGGUAGCGAACAGGAUUAGAUACCCUAGUAGUCC
RNAcentral lists this ribosomal RNA (793 nucleotides) under uncultured bacterium. RNAcentral's name for it is "bacterial SSU rRNA". It matches the Rfam family "Bacterial small subunit ribosomal RNA", at positions 8 to 796 of the family's 1533-position model. The record is from RNAcentral.